GGGGCACGGGGGGACUCCUACGGGAGGCAGCAGUAGGGAAUUUUGUACAAUGGGGGAAACCCUGAUACAGCGACGCCGCGUGAGCGAAGAAGGCCUUCGGGUUGUAAAGCUCUGUCAGUGGAGAAGAAGACCCUUGACCUAAUACGUCGAGGGGAUGACGGUAUCCGCAAAGGAAGCCCCGGCUAACUACGUGCCAGCAGCCGCGGUAAU
Molecule: ribosomal RNA, 210 nt
Filed under: uncultured beta proteobacterium
Lineage: Bacteria; Pseudomonadati; Pseudomonadota; Betaproteobacteria
Description: partial 16S ribosomal RNA
Rfam family: Bacterial small subunit ribosomal RNA
Source: RNAcentral